GUAGGUGAACCUGCGGAAGGAUCAUUAAUGAGUUGUCAUGGGGUUCGAUGCUGGCAGCCAGUUUUUGGAUGCAUGUGCUUGCCCUAACAAUCAUCUUCUUCCAAACACCUGUGCACAUUUUUGAGGGAGUCUCGAGUUGGUUGCCGCUCUUGGGUGAUUUUCUCACAUUCCCUUAAAUCAUUAUACGCUAUUAACAAUGCUGAACGUGCUCUGUGCCGCAAGGCCAUUAAUAUAAUACAACUUUUAACAACGGAUCUCUUGGCUCUC
This 267-nucleotide unclassified non-coding RNA is filed under the name plant metagenome. RNAcentral's name for it is "partial contains small subunit ribosomal RNA, internal transcribed spacer 1, and 5.8S ribosomal RNA". The record is from RNAcentral.